CCAGGACAUGUGCAGGAUGCCAUGAUGGUCCAAGUUAUAUUGGGAUUCAGCCAAUAGAAGAUAUUUUGCCUGUCAUCCCUAAGCUUAGGACAAUAGGGUCCUGCCCACAAGAAAGAUUGUGACAUCUCACUGGACAAGCACCCACCCAGGUAAUGUGACUCUACAUUCCUGCCUGGGUCCUGCUCACCAAAGAAAUUGUGACUUACCGCUGAUUGCAAACCCUAAAUGAUGUGACUGUCCUUCAUAUUCUAGACUCUGCCAAGAGAGGGGAUUAUUACAUAUUGCAGAGCCCAGCACCUAGGUGGAGUGACUCUCAUCUUUUUCUUCUACCCCGUAUAUAGCCAGCUUGGUGACCUACUAUUUGAGUCUAUACCCAGGCCCAGACCACAGAUGAAAUUGUGCAAUAUGUGGAACAAACACCUAAACAAUAUAUAACACCUUCCUUGGCUCUGUCUACAAAGGGCACUUUUAUAUAUCACUGGGACCAUCAACCAGGUGAUGUUGUGCCAUAUAACUGAGACCGUAUCAAAAGCCUAAUAACAAGACGUAUGUCUGGAGCCCCGAUAUGCACAGGAUGGUGAUAUAACCCUCUUCUCUGGAAUGGGCCCCACACAAAGGAAGGAUAGUGACAUAUUGCAAGCCCAGGCACACAGGCCCAGAGCACAGUUGAAAUUGUGACAUAUGUACACCAAGCAACCAAGCAAUGUAUAACACCUCAUUUGGCAAUGGAAUCGAGGGCACUUUUACAUAUCACUGAGACCAGCGCCCAGCUGAUGUGAAAUAUUGGCCUGAACCCUGCCUACAAAAGCAUUGUGGCUUUUAUCUAGCUCCAUUACAUAAGUGAUGUGACUUCCUUCUACUGCCUUGGCCCUGCACUUAUGGUGAAUCGUGACACAAAAUUGGGUAGAGCAACCAGCCUGGGCCCUGACCAGCACAGAGAUUGAGGCAUAUUGCUGAACCCAGGACCAAGAUGAAGUCACUCUCCUGCCUUGAUCCUGCACACAGGGACCCUUGUGACAUAUAUACAGGCCAAUUGCCUAGGUGAUGUUGUGCAAUAUACCUGAGACCAGAUCAAUGGCCUAAUAAUGACUCUUUUACCUAGAGCCAGGA
Homo sapiens (human) is the source of this 1110-nucleotide long non-coding RNA. Ensembl annotates it as long intergenic non-protein coding RNA 293. The record is from Ensembl. Lineage: Eukaryota; Metazoa; Chordata; Mammalia; Primates; Hominidae.